Molecule: long non-coding RNA, 366 nt
Organism: Rhodamnia argentea
Lineage: Eukaryota; Viridiplantae; Streptophyta; Magnoliopsida; Myrtales; Myrtaceae
Exons: 2
Source: RefSeq, a predicted model, not a curated record
CACACCCAGAAGAAGAGCCGGAAUCACCAAUUGAACUCGAUUGGAAAAUUGUUCUUAUGGGGUACGGGAGCGGCUUAGUGAUCGGAGUGGUCAUCGGAAAUGCAUUCAUCUCCUGGAAACAUGUUUGGUUUGAAGGAAAUGCAAGGAGAAGGCGACGGCCCAAUCGGAGGCAGCCUAGGAGGGGUAGGAACUCCUGGUCAGGCAAAUUUUUCAAGUUCUGCGGACAAUAAAAUUUACCGUUCAAAUGAGCUAGGUAUUUCCUUCUUUUUCUUGAAUGUACUAGUUUCUUCAUAGUAAUUUUGCUGUAAUUUAUGUCAAACCUUCACUUUCUUCGGUUAAUCUCUCAUCACACAUGUUUACCACCUC